GUGCUCACUUUGGCAACACAUGUACUAAAAUGAUACAGAGAAGAUUAGCAUGGCCCCUGCACAAGGAUAACAUGCAAAUUCAUGGAGUGUCCCGUAUUUUU
Small nuclear RNA from Rhinopithecus bieti (black snub-nosed monkey), 101 nucleotides. NCBI's taxonomy places the organism in Eukaryota, Metazoa, Chordata, Mammalia, Primates, Cercopithecidae. The record is from Ensembl.